Molecule: ribosomal RNA, 1234 nt
Filed under: metagenome
Description: bacterial LSU rRNA
Rfam family: Bacterial large subunit ribosomal RNA
Source: RNAcentral
UGAAUACGAGAUGCUACGGCGUCGAAGCAGUCUAUGUCAUACUUCCAAGAAAAGCUCGCACUGUCAUAAACAAAUAAUGCCUGUACCAUAACCGACACAGGUGGGUAGGUAGAGUAUACUAAGGGGCGCGAGAUAACUCUCUCUAAGGAACUCGGCAAAAUGACUCCGUAACUUCGGGAGAAGGAGUGCCUUAUUUAUAAGGUUGCAAUAACAAGAUCCAAGCAACUGUUUAUCAAAAACACAGGUCUCCGCUAAGUCGUAAGACGAUGUAUGGGGGCUGACGCCUGCCCAGUGCCAGAAGGUUAAAGAAGUUGGUUAGCAUUCGCGAAGCUGAUAACUGAAGCCCUGGUGAACGGCGGCCGUAACAAUAACGGUCCUAAGGUAGCGAAAUUCCUUGUCGGGUAAGUUCCGACCCGCACGAAAGGCGUAAUGAUUUGGAUACUGUCUCGGAGAGGGGCUCGGUGAAAUAGACUUGUCUGUGAAGAUGCGGACUACCUGCACCAGGACAGAAAGACCCUAUGAAGCUUUACUGUAACUUGAGAUUGAAAUUGGACUUUACUUGCGCAGUAUAGGUGGGAGGCGUUGAUAAUAUUCUUGCGGGAUUAUUUGAGCCAUCAGUGAGAUACCACUCUUGUAAUGUUAGAUUUCUAACUUUGUAUCAUUAUCUGGUCAAAGGACAGUUUCAGGCGGGCAGUUUGACUGGGGCGGUCGCCUCCUAAACGGUAACGGAGGCGCACAAAGGUUUCCUCUGAACGGGUAGAAAUCGUAUCUAGAGUGUAAAGGCAUAAGGAAGCUUGACUGUGAGACCUACAUGUCGAGCAGGGACGAAAGUCGGUCUUAGUGAUCUGACGGUGCUGAGUGGAAAGGCCGUCACUCAACGGAUAAAAGUUACUCUAGGAUAACAGGCUGAUCUCCCCCAAGAGUUCACAUCGACGGGGAGGUUUGGCACCUCGAUGUCGGCUCAUCGCAUCCUGGGGCGGUAGUACGUCCCAAGGGUUGGGCUGUUCGCCCAUGAAAGCGGUACGCGAGCUGGGUUCAGAACGUCGUGAGACAGUUCGGUCCAUAUCCGGUGUAGGCGUUAGAAUAUUGAGAGGAGCCUUCUUUAGUACGAGAGGACCGAGAAGGACAUACCUCUGGUGUACCAGUUAUCGUGCCAACGGUAAACGCUGGGUAGCUAUGUAUGGAGUGGAUAACCGCUGAAAGCAUCUAAGUGGGAAGCCCACCUCAAGAUAAG